AUCUUCAGGGCAGGGUGCGAUUCCCGACCGGCGGUAUAGUCCGCGAGCCUUCGGGCCGAUUCGGUGCGAUUCCGAAACCGACAGUAAAAGUCUGGAUGAAAGAAGAU
Molecule: non-coding RNA, 107 nt
Filed under: bovine gut metagenome
Description: FMN riboswitch (RFN element)
Rfam family: FMN riboswitch aptamer (RFN element)
About the family: The RFN element is a highly conserved domain that is found frequently in the 5'-untranslated regions of prokaryotic mRNAs that encode for flavin mononucleotide (FMN) biosynthesis and transport proteins. This element is a metabolite-dependent riboswitch that directly binds FMN in the absence of proteins.
Source: RNAcentral